CAAUAUUUCUCCCAAACAUUAGAAAAACAAAUAACCUUUUUCCCAAUUUUUUUUUAAUUUUUGUUAUUUUCAAUCUUAUUUUUGUGUGUAUUAGAGUUUUCAUCUAUGGAGUCGAGAAAAUCAGUGUUCAAGUCUUGAGACUCCGCAAUUGAUGUUGGCUCCACGUGAAAACUAAUUCCACUAUUACCAGUUACCAGUGCCAAACUGCCAAUACCACAUCCCCAUGAAUCAUGAUCAAAUUGCUGCACCAUUAAUUUAGCCCACUGCCCACUGAAUCUGAAAUUUGACGCAGCCAUUUCACCUUCGUUAUUCCUUCAAAUUCAGCACCACUUAGUCCAGAUCUACCUCCAUUUCUCUUUCUAACAAAGGAAGAUCAAAGAAUUAACAAUGGCUAACAAUGUCAAUCCAUUGCUAAUGUCGGAAAUUGGCCCCGAUGGUCUCGCUCGAGAAGCUCCUGUCAUCGCUUACACUGAAAAGAUAAUUGAGCAGGAAAAACUUCAACUCCAGAAAUAUAUAGAGGAAAAUUAUUCAAAAAUCCGUGAUGUUGAGCGCGAAUUUGCUAACCUCAAUUUCGAGCUGAAACUGACUGCAGGAUCAAAGAACGCUGCAUUUGAACACUUGAGAAAGAAGAUUGAACUUCAGAAUGAGAAAAUUCGAACAGCUAAGUUAAAGGAAGAACAGGCCAAAAAGGUAUGGGAGGAUGCUCUAAAAGUUGUACAGGAUGAGGAAGCAGUUAAGCAGAAGCUAUGUGAGGACUUGAAUCAAUUGGUCCAAGAAAGCGGUAACUCCCAAUUCGCAAGGCUCGAGGAACUAAAAAGACGACUAGAAGCUUUAAAUCCAGGAAGAGCAUCAACCUCUAUUUUGCAUAAUGGCACGCCAUCUAGUGCGUCACCUGCUGCUUUGACGCCAGAAGUAAAUGGGAUAGCUACAAGCAAUCCCAGUCAAGAAAAUGGUGAAACUGUACCAACUGUUAAUGUUCAAAAUCAACCACCUAGCACUGAUGGAGAAGGAAGAGGAAAGAAGAAAAGCCUCUUACAAGGGAGAGGAAGGGGACUUGGAGUAUUGGCAAAAGGGAGAGGGCCUUCUACGCCUGGAUGGACUGGUGCUGGAUUUGAUGUGGACACUGGAAGCUGAGAGGAGCUAGCUGAUGUGUCAAAUUUUGUGAUGAGAAAAUACUCCGGGGUUCGGCAAGAGGGGGACAAAGAUAAAGGGAAAAGUGCUUCUUGGAUGGUUGAUAUAUAGCUGGUUGGGUUUCACAAUAUGCUUUAUUGCUUUAGCACCAUGUCGUCCUCUAGCAUGAUGGGUUAUGGUGAGGCAAGGUGAUGAUCAUACAUUGAGAUACGUAAAAAAUUCAAGGACAUCCCACCAUUGAGCCAGGACCAAGCCAUGGGAGUGUCAGCCAUUCAUCAAUGUGCACUCAACCUUGGGCAUGACUAUAAUGAAGGCUCACCUGAGUGGAAGCUGGACCCCUAACUUGAGAUAUUAACUUUGAAAUUGUUAUUAGUUUAUCAGGUUCAUGUCUUCAUGAAAGUUGCUCACUUAUUAGCCUGGAACCUGAACAUGAUAGUUCUGCACUGUAAGCGUUUGUUCUUGUCACAUGAAAAAUUAAAUUAGCCUCUUCAAGAAUAUUAUAUCUAUAUUCACUCAAGGCAUGAGCAUCCCCGUCUAUAGAUUGAGUGGAGCAUAGAGGCAAGUCUUCCAACUUGUGAUAUAAGGCUGUGAGGACAUAAGUGGGGCUUGGGACCAAGUGCAUGGAAUUACAUGGAAGCAGCUCGACAUACCCUUUGGUGGCUUGAACAAUGCCCACACUCAGAAAGGCUCAAGUAGCCUAAACAUUUGGUGCUCGGCAGUGCAUCCGCAGUGGUGGUGACUCUGACUAGGCCACCGUUGUAGCAAAACGGUGGAGCUUGAUUAAGUGGGCCUACUUUUAGUACCCUUAAUGGUUGGACAUAAUCUCCAACGUAAGUAAAUUGUAAUCAUCUAUUGUUUGUCAUGAGCCUAAUAAUUGAUACUCUUAUAUCCUAUCCAGCAUCAACUUUGCUAAGACCCAUCUGUUGCUGGACCACUCGUGAUGACCUUGUGUAGAGCCCUGUAAAGGUUGUAUGGCCUCGGGUGAACUUAGGCACCUCAUUAGGGAAGUGGAUGCUGUGAACAAUUAAGAAAUAAUUAUGGCCUCCUCUCCUAUUAUAGGAGAUAUGAGUCAAGUGUUGCAGUGGGAGGUGGUUGCCUUGAUGCCUCUACUAUUAAGAAUCGUGAUCGGUCGCAAAUUAUGGGCUUGCACACCACAAGUGGGGCAGUAACAUCAACUGUUACCACCAAUGAAGUGCUCACCUUGACAUUCAACACUAAUCAGCCGGUUAUCUCUUACAUGUGUUGUUUUUAUUAAAGUUAGUUUCAUUAUGGGAAAAUCCUCUGGCUCUCACGAUCAUCCUUAAACCUAUUUAUUCUAGAGAAGACAUUUACGUCAGGCUGCACAUAGUGACC
RNA transcript from Beta vulgaris subsp. vulgaris (sugar beet), 2484 nucleotides. RefSeq lists it as hypothetical. NCBI's taxonomy places the organism in Eukaryota, Viridiplantae, Streptophyta, Magnoliopsida, Caryophyllales, Amaranthaceae. The transcript is spliced from 8 exons. The record is from RefSeq and is a predicted model, not a curated record.